CAAUUUCAAAACUUGGUACAAAGAGUAAUCAAAACAGUGUGGUAUUUGCAUAAGAAUAGACAUAGAGACCAAAGAAUUAGAAUUGAGAGCCGAGAAAUCAAUGCUCACAGCUACAGCCAACUGAUUUUCAACAAGAGCGCCAAGAUCAUUCAAUGGGGAAAAAUGAUCUCUUCAACAGAUGGUGCUGAGAAAACCGGACAUCCACAGGCAAAGAAUGAAGUUGGACACUUACUUUACACCAUAUACAAAAAUUAACUAAAAAUGCAUCAAAGACCUAAAUUUUAAGAGCUAAACUAUAAAACUGUUAGAAGAAAAUGUAAGGGAAAAUCUGCUUGACCUUGAACUCGGCAAUGUUUUCUUAAAUAUGACACCAAAAGCACAGGCAACAAAAGAAAAAAUAGAUAAAUUGGACUUCAUUAAGAUUAAACACUUUUGUGCAUCAAAGGACACUAGCGAGAGAGUGAAAAGACAACCCACAGAAUGGGAGAAAAGAUUUGCAAAUCAUACAUCUAAAAUCAUAUAUAAAAAUCAUACAUCUGGUUUAAAAUCCAGAAUAUAUAAAGAAGUCCAACAACUCAACCACAAAAAGGCAAAAACCCAAUUUUACAGUGGGCAACAAACUUGAAUAGACAUUUCUCCGAAGAAGAUAUACAAAUGGUCAAUAAGCACAUGAAAAGUUGCUUGACAUCAUUAGUCAUUAGGGAAAUGCAAAUCAAAACCGCAAUGAGAUGUCACUUCACACCAAUUAGGAUGGCUAUAAUUUUGGACAAUAGCAGUUGUUGGAGAGGGUGUGAAGAAAUCGGAACACUUGCACAUUGCUGUUGAGAUCAUAAAAUGGUGCAGCCGCUGUGGAAGCAGCUUGGCAGUUCCUCAAAAAGUUACACACCGAAUUUCCAUAUAACCCAGCAAUUCCACUCCUAGGUAUAGACCCAAAAGAUUUAAAAAGAGGCACUCAAACACAUGCUUGUCCAGGAGCGUUCGUAGCGGCACUGUUCGCAACAGCCACAAGGUGGCAACAACCCAAGUGUCCAUCCACAGAGGAACGGAUAAACAAAUUGUGGUCUAUCCACAUAGUGGAAUAUAAUUCAGCCAUAAAAAGGAAUGAAAUGCAUGGGCUACAGCAUGGAUGAGCCUUGAGGGCCCGUGAACCUGCCCUGGCAUAGCUGAGGGCUGGGGGGCACCGGGCAGCAGCUGGGCAUCUAGGUGUGCCCGGGGGAUGCACUGAAGAGAGGAGAGCAGGUGGAGGAUCGCACUGGGGUCAGGGCAGCUGAGGCGGACACUGUCGCUGUCCAAGCCGGCAGCCAUUCCCAAUUCCUCCUCCCUCGCUGCUUCGUCACUGCUGAACAAUGGAGCCUGUUCCAGCCCCCACGCUGGCCAAUGGGACUUAAGGGGAAGUCUGCUGGGGGCUCCGAAACCUUUAGUUCUCCUGACAAAAGAGAAAGCCUUGGCUGGCCAGCACCACCCAGGGCUCCCUGACUUUGCCUCCAACACUCUGUCAAGUCUGCAGCUGCAAUAGCCAUUGAGCAAAGACAGGGGGCAAGCAUGAGACCCAAAAGCCAGCAGCCUGAGUAGGACAGUGCAGAAGUAGAAGCAUGGGCCCUCCACGACACACCAGCCAGCACCCGCCCCCUCCAGACUUCCCGUCACCGAGAACAUCCCCAGCCGAGCCAGGUACCCAACAUCCCUCCCCAGCGCCACGAACUCCUCCCCCAGACUCCUCCCCCGGACUCCUCCCCGAAACAAGGCCUGUCUCCUCUCAGUGCUACUGCCACCAAAGCCACUCUCUUGUCACCCCCCAAUGCCACUGUCCUCCUACAUAACACACACCCACACCUCUCCCCAGCCUGAGCCCCGCCUCAGCCAGGCCCAGCUCAGGCCAAACGCCAGCUCACAGCAUUCUCAAGGGCUCCUGGGAGAUGCUGCCAGACCAAGCACACGGGACAACACCCCCUGCCCCAUUCUGCGCUCAGCCAUGGCCACCCUGAGCUCAGCUCCACGCAUCCUGUCCAGGAAGGAGACGACAGAGCUGCUGACGGUGACUGUCCCGUGCAUCUGGCACGGAGCUUUUCCUUCACUGCACAUCCGAUUCUUGCCUACAAGGUAGAUACUUUAUCUCCAUCUGACAGAGGGGGAAGCCGACGCUUAGAGCAGCUCUCUCGCCGGAGGUCACCACCCGGGUCUUGACCAGGAAGCAUCCCCGUGCUCACGCCUGGGCCCCACAGGAGGAGACUGGAUUCCCGCUCAGCGAAUGCCGGGGAGCCUCAUGGAGCAACGAGGCUCCAGGUCCUUCUUCCUCUCCCUGCUCUGCGUCCUGCAGCAAACAGCCUGGACAGGCCCAGCGCAAGGCAGAAACUCCAUCAGCAAAGCUGAUUCUAGGGCCCUGCUCUUUCAGAGCUGUUCAGAGUCAAAAUGUCCCCGUUACCAGGCAACGCUGCUCAGCUGGAUUUAGAACACUGGAAAGCCUGGAACCCACCAUGGCUGCAAUAUCUGAGCGAACGGGGAGGGAGGGGGCGCUGCUGCUGGCUCGGUGGUCCAGUUGGGCCCAGGUGAAAGGCUGGGAUAAGAGCUGCCUCUAGGCUCUGAGCACUCACUUCCCUCGGGCCAAGAGUAGGGUGAGUGCCCUGUCGCCCUCAAUCCUCAACAUUGCCAUCUAGCUUGAUACCAUUGUUCUCACAUUACAAAUAAGGAAACUGAGGCCCGUGAAGUCACGCCCCUGGCCCAAGGGCCCACAGCAGGGCUGACCCUCAGGCCACGCCAGGAUCGUCCUCAGCAAGUUCCAGCCAGUGGACCGCGAGGAGACUGACACGUCGCUUCCGAGCUGAGCCAGUUGAGAGCUGCCGGUGGGAGAUGGAGAGAGCUGCUCCCUCUCAGUCCUCCCAGCCACACGGACCCCGGGGGCCAUGUGCUCUAAAUGGAGGAGGGCUGCCCGUCCUCACGAGCCUUUAGGUGAGUGAGGAGCCAGCCUGGAUGGCGUUUAACCACCGAGACUCCAGGUUUGUCUGUUAUGGCAGCUGGUGUUAAAUACCCCGACACAUUCAGACCCCAGAGUUAGAAGAGAGCAAAGCAACUUGGUAGAUAGGAAGUGAUGGAAUGUCAUGCUUUCAAUAAAAAAUAAGCUGGCUAACAUUUAGUGAAGUUAUUACGAACCAGACAUCGUUCUAA
Molecule: long non-coding RNA, 3162 nt
Filed under: Equus asinus (donkey)
Lineage: Eukaryota; Metazoa; Chordata; Mammalia; Perissodactyla; Equidae
Description: lncRNA (ENSEASG00005037642.1)
Source: RNAcentral